CCUACGGGCGGCAGCAGUGAGGAAUAUUGGUCAAUGGGCUUACGCCUGAACCAGCCAAGUCGCGUGAGGGAAGACGGCCCUAUGGGUUGUAAACCUCUUUUGUCAGGGAGCAACGCCGGCUACGUGUAGCCCGACUGAGAGUACCUGAAAAAAAAGCAUCGGCUAACUCCGUGCCAGCCGCCGCGGUAAUACGGAGGAUGCGAGCGUUAUCCGGAUUUAUUGGGGUUAAAGGGUGCGUAGGCGGAAUGCCAAGUCAGCGGUAAAAUUGCGGGGCUCAACCUCGCUCCGCCGUUGAAACUGGCGUUCUUGAGUGGGCGAGAAGUAUGCGGAAUGCGUGGUGUAGCGGUGAAAUGCAUAGAUAUCACGAAGAACUCCGAUUGCGAAGGCAGCAUACCGGCGCCCAACUGACGCUGAAGCACGAAAGCGUGGGUAUCGAACAGGAUUAGAUACCCCGGUAGUC
RNAcentral lists this ribosomal RNA (460 nucleotides) under uncultured bacterium. RNAcentral's name for it is "partial 16S ribosomal RNA". It matches the Rfam family "Bacterial small subunit ribosomal RNA", at positions 338 to 795 of the family's 1533-position model. The record is from RNAcentral.